CGGCGGACGGCUGAGUAACGCGUAGGAACGUACCCCAAAGUGAGGGAUAAGCACCAGAAAUGGUGUCUAAUACCGCAUAUGCUCCAAGGAGUAAAGCUUCGGCGCUUUGGGAACGGCCUGCGUCUGAUUAGCUUGUUGGUGAGGUAAAAGCUCACCAAGGCGACGAUCAGUAGCUGGUCUGAGAGGAUGACCAGCCAGACUGGGACUGAGAACGGCCCAG
This 220-nucleotide ribosomal RNA is filed under the name uncultured bacterium. RNAcentral's name for it is "partial 16S ribosomal RNA". It matches the Rfam family "Bacterial small subunit ribosomal RNA", at positions 96 to 334 of the family's 1533-position model. The record is from RNAcentral.